AUGGAUUUCUCCAUGGAGGCCGCCAGGGAGCUCGGCCUCCCCUAUGUCCAGCUGUGGACGGCCAGCGCCAUCAGCUUCCUCGGUUACCGCCACUACCGCCUCCUCUUCGCCCGCGGCCUCGCGCCGAUCAAAGACGUCGAACAGCUGACGGACGAGUACCUUGACACGCCGGUGGAGGACGUUCCGGGCCUGAGGAACAUGAGGUUCAGGGACUUCUCGAGCUUCAUACGCAGCCCGGCCCCGGACGACUACAUGCUGCAUUUCGCGCUCGGGAUGACGGAGCGCGCGGCCGGCGCGUCGGCGGUGAUCGUCAACACCUUCGACGACCUCGAGGGAGAGGAGGUGGCGGCCAUGGAGGCGCUCGGCCUGCCCAAGGUCUACACCAUCGGCCCGCUCUCGCUGUUGGCACCGCUCAAGGGCCCGAGUUCCGCCAUCAGCAUGAGCCUAUGGAAGCCGCGGGAGGAGUGCCUGCCGUGGCUCGACGGCAAGGACCCCGGCUCCGUCAUGUACGUCAACUUCGGCAGCAUCACCGUCAUGACCAACGAGCAGCUGGUGGAGUUCGCGUGGGGUCUGGCCAAGAGCGGCAGGCACUUCCUCUGGGUCAUCCGCCCGGACCUCGUCAAGGGCGACGCCGCCGUGCUGCCGCUGGAGUUCUCGGACGAGACGGCGGGGCGCGGGCUGGUGGCCUCCUGA
This 693-nucleotide ribosomal RNA is filed under the name Triticum aestivum (bread wheat). RNAcentral describes it as "partial small subunit ribosomal RNA". The record is from RNAcentral. Lineage: Eukaryota; Viridiplantae; Streptophyta; Magnoliopsida; Poales; Poaceae.